CAGCAGCCACGGGAAUACGUAGGGUGCGAGCGUUAAUCGGAAUUACUGGGCGUAAAGCGUGCGCAGGCGGUUAUAUAAGACAGAUGUGAAAUCCCCGGGCUCAACCUGGGACCUGCAUUUGUGACUGUAUAGCUAGAGUACGGUAGAGGGGGAUGGAAUUCCGCGUGUAGCAGUGAAAUGCGUAGAUAUGCGGAGGAACACCGAUGGCGAAGGCAAUCCCCUGGACCUGUACUGACGCUCAUGCACGAAAGCGUGGGGAGCAAACAGGAUUAGAGACCCGUGUAGUCCCUGUCUCUUAUAA
RNAcentral lists this ribosomal RNA (301 nucleotides) under uncultured bacterium. Its description in RNAcentral is "partial 16S ribosomal RNA". It matches the Rfam family "Bacterial small subunit ribosomal RNA", at positions 509 to 809 of the family's 1533-position model. The record is from RNAcentral.